CCUACGGGAGGCAGCAGUGGGGAAUAUUGCACAAUGGGCGCAAGCCUGACGCAGCGACGCCGCGUGAAGGAAGAAGGCUUUCGGGUUGUAAACUUCUUUUCUCAGGGAAGAAGCAAGUGACGGUCCCUGGAGAAUAAGCCACGGCUAACUACGUGCCAGCAGCCGCGGUAAUACGGAGGGGGCAAGCGUUAUCCGGUUUUACUGGGUGUAAAGGGCGUGUAGGCGGGGACGCAAGUCAGUUGUGAAAACCCCGGGCUUAACCUGGGACCUGCAUUGGAAACUGUGUUUCUUGAGUGCUGGAGAGGCAGGCGGAAUGCCUAGUGUAGCGGUGAAAUGCGUAGAUAUUAGGAGGAACACCAGUGGCGAAGGCGGUUUUCUGGACAGCAACUGACGCUGAGGCGCGAAAGCGUGGGGAGCAAACAGGAUUAGAUACCCUGGUAGUC
RNAcentral lists this ribosomal RNA (443 nucleotides) under uncultured bacterium. RNAcentral's name for it is "partial 16S ribosomal RNA". It matches the Rfam family "Bacterial small subunit ribosomal RNA", at positions 338 to 795 of the family's 1533-position model. The record is from RNAcentral.